UGGGGAAUAUUGCACAAUGGAGGAAACUCUGAUGCAGCGACGCCGCGUGAACGAUGAAGGCCUUCGGGUCGUAAAGUUCUGUCCUAGGGGACGAUAAUGACGGUACCCUAGGAGGAAGCCCCGGCUAACUACGUGCCAGCAGCCGCGGUAAUACGUAGGGGGCGAGCGUUGUCCGGAAUUAUUGGGCGUAAAGGGUUCGUAGGCGGUAAUUUAAGUCAGAUGUGAAAGGCGCAGGCUCAACCUGUGUAAGCAUUUGAAACUGGAUUACUUGAGUUAAGGAGAGGAAAGUGGAAUUCCUAGUGUAGCGGUGAAAUGCGUAGAUAUUAGGAGGAAUACCAGUGGCGAAGGCGACUUUCUGGACUUAUACUGACGCUGAGGAACGAAAGCGUGGGGAGCAAACAGG
Molecule: ribosomal RNA, 403 nt
Filed under: uncultured bacterium
Lineage: Bacteria
Also listed under: 1 other name
Description: bacterial SSU rRNA
Rfam family: Bacterial small subunit ribosomal RNA
Source: RNAcentral